UACGUAGGGGGCGAGCGUUGUCCGGAAUUACUGGGCGUAAAGAGAGCGUAGGCGGCACUACAAGUCUCAUGUGAAAUACCCGGGCUUAACUUGGGGGUUGCAUGGGAAACUGUAGAGCUUGAGUACAGGAGAGGCAAGCGGAAUUCCUAGUGUAGCGGUGAAAUGCAUAGAUAUUAGGAGGAACACCCGUGGCGAAGGCGGCUUGCUGGACUGAAACUGACGCUGAGGCUCGAAAGCGUGGGGAGCAAACAGG
This 253-nucleotide ribosomal RNA is filed under the name uncultured bacterium. RNAcentral describes it as "partial 16S ribosomal RNA". It matches the Rfam family "Bacterial small subunit ribosomal RNA", at positions 524 to 776 of the family's 1533-position model. The record is from RNAcentral.